UACGUAGGUGGCAAGCGUUGUCCGGAAUUAUUGGGCGUAAAGCGCGCGCAGGUGGUUCCUUAAGUCUGAUGUGAAAGCCCCCGGCUCAACCGGGGAGGGUCAUUGGAAACUGGGGAACUUGAGUGCAGAAGAGGAGAGUGGAAUUCCACGUGUAGCGGUGAAAUGCGUAGAUAUGUGGAGGAACACCAGUGGCGAAGGCGGCUCUCUGGCCUGUAACUGACACUGAGGCUCGAAAGCGUGGGGAGCAAACAGG
RNAcentral lists this ribosomal RNA (253 nucleotides) under uncultured microorganism. RNAcentral describes it as "partial 16S ribosomal RNA". It matches the Rfam family "Bacterial small subunit ribosomal RNA", at positions 524 to 776 of the family's 1533-position model. The record is from RNAcentral.